Molecule: ribosomal RNA, 253 nt
Filed under: uncultured Eubacteriales bacterium
Lineage: Bacteria; Bacillati; Bacillota; Clostridia; Eubacteriales
Description: uncultured Clostridiales bacterium partial 16S ribosomal RNA
Rfam family: Bacterial small subunit ribosomal RNA
Source: RNAcentral
UACGUAGGUGGCAAGCGUUAUCCGGAUUUACUGGGUGUAAAGGGAGCGUAGACGGCAGCACAAGUCUGGAGUGAAAUCCCAUGGCUUAACCAUGGAACUGCUUUGGAAACUGUGCAGCUGGAGUGCAGGAGAGGUAAGCGGAAUUCCUAGUGUAGCGGUGAAAUGCGUAGAUAUUAGGAAGAACACCAGUGGCGAAGGCGGAUUACUGGACGAUAACUGACGGUGAGGCGCGAAAGCGUGGGUAUCGAACAGG